AGUGAACGCUGGCGGUAGGCCUAACACAUGCAAGUCGAACGGCAGCACAGUAAUAGCUUGCUCUUACGGGUGGCGAGUGGCGGACGGGUGAGGAAUACAUCGGAAUCUACUUUUUCGUGGGUGAUAACGUAGGGAAACUUACGCUAAUACCGCAUACGACCUACGGGUGAAAGCAGGGGAUCUUCGGACCUUGCGCGAUUGAAUGAGCCGAUGUCGGAUUAGCUAGUUGGCGGGGUAAAGGCCCACCAAGGCGACGAUCCGUAGCUGGUCUGAGAGGAUGAUCAGCCACACUGGAACUGAGACACGGUCCAGACACCUACGGGAGGCAGCAGUGGGGAAUAUUGGACAAUGGGCGCAAGCCUGAUCCAGCGAUACCGCGUGGGUGAAGAAGGCCUUCGGGUUGUAAAGCCCUUUUGUUGGGAAAGAAAAGCAGCAGGUUAAUACCCCGCUGUUCUGACGGUACCGAAAGAAUAAGCACCGGCUAACUUCGUG
This 492-nucleotide ribosomal RNA is filed under the name uncultured bacterium. Its description in RNAcentral is "partial 16S ribosomal RNA". It matches the Rfam family "Bacterial small subunit ribosomal RNA", at positions 29 to 507 of the family's 1533-position model. The record is from RNAcentral.